Molecule: ribosomal RNA, 497 nt
Filed under: uncultured bacterium
Lineage: Bacteria
Description: partial 16S ribosomal RNA
Rfam family: Bacterial small subunit ribosomal RNA
Source: RNAcentral
GAUGAACGCUGGCGGCGUGCCUAAUACAUGCAAGUCGAGCGAACAGACGAGGAGCUUGCUCCUCUGACGUUAGCGGCGGACGGGUGAGUAACACGUGGAUAACCUACCUAUAAGACUGGGAUAACUUCGGGAAACCGGAGCUAAUACCGGAUAAUAUAUUGAACCGCAUGGUUCAAUAGUGAAAGACGGUUUUGCUGUCACUUAUAGAUGGAUCCGCGCCGCAUUAGCUAGUUGGUAAGGUAACGGCUUACCAAGGCAACGAUGCGUAGCCGACCUGAGCGGGUGAUCGGCCACACUGGAACUGAACCACGGUCCAGACUACUACGGGAGGCAGCAGUAGGGAAUCUUCCGCAAUUGGCGAAAACCUGACGGAGCAACGCCACGUGAGUGAUGAAGGUCUUCGGAUCGUAGAACUCUGUUAUUAGGGAAGAACAAAUGUGUAAGUAACUAUGCACGUCUUGACGGUACCUAAUCAGAAAGCCACGGCUAACUACGUG